ACCACACAGAAGCAAGAUGAUCUCAAAGACUCCACUUAUCUGGCUGCUGCUUUUCUGGAUUCAGGGUUCCAAUGGACAGACUGUGAUGACUCAGACUCCAGAAUCUCUCUCUGUGUCUGUGGGAGAGACCGUCACUAUCAAAUGCAAAGCCAGUGCAAGCAUUAGCAACGACAUUGCUUGGUACCAACAGAAACCUGGACAGGCUCCCAAGCUUCUUAUCUAUUACACCAGCAACCGUCCCACGGGCAUCCCAGACCGGUUCAGUGGCAGUGGGUCGGGCACUGACUACACAUUCACAAUCAGCAGGGUUGAAGCUGAUGAUGCUGGGGAUUAUUACUGCCAGCAGUAUAAUAGCUGGCCUCUCACAGUGAUACAGCCCAAUACAAAAACCUCCCUAUCAGUGCAUAGUGCUGAGCAUUUCUCACAGCUGCAUGUGAACAGUCAGCUUCACAGAUUUCAUAACAAACAAGAAACAGGAAGUUAA
Mauremys mutica (yellowpond turtle) is the source of this 484-nucleotide non-coding RNA. NCBI's taxonomy places the organism in Eukaryota, Metazoa, Chordata, Testudines, Geoemydidae. The record is from the annotation of a RefSeq genome assembly.